RNAcentral lists this long non-coding RNA (848 nucleotides) under Erythranthe guttata (spotted monkey flower). RNAcentral describes it as "long non-coding RNA (EGUT_LNC000256)". The record is from RNAcentral. Lineage: Eukaryota; Viridiplantae; Streptophyta; Magnoliopsida; Lamiales; Phrymaceae.
UUUUUUUCGUAUCUAUUACAUUUAUCGACUAUAAAGCAUAUUAAUCGACUAUAAUGAAACAUAGUCGAUUAAGGAACUGACUACUAAAAAUAAAAGAACACAACUACAUAAACAAGAAAAUGAAUAUUUUUUUUACAAAACAAAUAAUAUACAUAAAUUGUAAUUGAUUUAUACAAAUCGAAAUCAGUACACAAAAAUCCAAAAACGAAUUAAAAAAAUGAAAUCGAGUAACCUUAAUCGACUACCAAAGCAGUCCAUUAACUUAAUUGACUAUGAUGAAGCAUAGUCGAUUAAGGAUCCAGCCUGCGCGAAUUUCUCUAGCCGCAUUGUCCUCCGCUCUUUGUACCAAAAAAACCCUACAUCUGCACAUCAAACCAUCACCACCCCACUUCGAUAUUCUGACGGUUUUUUAUUACAAAUAAAGUAAAUCACAACCCGCACCACCAACCAAAGCUGAACCACCACCCAUCAAAAUCCGAUUCUGGCAACAAAUCGAUAAUUUUACCUCUUUUUCGCCGCGAAUGUAGCAAUCAUGGUAAUCGAAUUCAAAAUCUCUAUCAAAAUCAUCAUGAUCGUUAGGGCUUCUGUUCAGAUCUGCAAAAUUCCUAAUUCCGCGAAGGGUAGAGAUCGGGAGAAGUAGGAAGAGAUGUCUCAAAUGGGGGAACCAAAAGGCGGAGAAGAUGGAUUAAUCCCAACGGUGACGACGACGACAAAUUUAACGGGAUUGGCGCCGUUGUUCUGGCGGUGAAGCCGGUGGUUGGUUCUUCAUCUUCCGAUCAAGAGAGAAUAAACUAGAGAAUUAUGUGGAAAAAGUAUAAUUGAAAAAAAAAACAGACGCAUGAGAAGAA